UGGGGAAUAUUGCACAAUGGGCGCAAGCCUGAUGCAGCCAUGCCGCGUGUGUGAAGAAGGCCUUCGGGUUGUAAAGCACUUUCAGCGAGGAGGAAGGUGGUGAGCUUAAUAUGCUCAUCAAUUGACGUUACUCGCAGAAGAAGCACCGGCUAACUCCGUGCCAGCAGCCGCGGUAAUACGGAGGGUGCAAGCGUUAAUCGGAAUUACUGGGCGUAAAGCGCACGCAGGCGGUUUGUUAAGUCAGAUGUGAAAUCCCCGGGCUCAACCUGGGAACUGCAUUUGAAACUGGCAAGCUAGAGUCUCGUAGAGGGGGGUAGAAUUCCAGGUGUAGCGGUGAAAUGCGUAGAGAUCUGGAGGAAUACCGGUGGCGAAGGCGGCCCCCUGGACGAAGACUGACGCUCAGGUGCGAAAGCGUGGGGCAGCAAACAGGAUUAGAUACCCUGGUAGUCCACGCUGUAAAACGAUGUCGAUUUUGGAGGUUGUGCCCUUGAGGCGUGGCUUCCGGAGCUAACGCGUUAAAUCGACCGCCUGGGGAGUACGGCCGCAAGG
RNAcentral lists this ribosomal RNA (549 nucleotides) under uncultured bacterium. RNAcentral's name for it is "partial 16S ribosomal RNA". It matches the Rfam family "Bacterial small subunit ribosomal RNA", at positions 355 to 893 of the family's 1533-position model. The record is from RNAcentral.